This is a long non-coding RNA of Branchiostoma floridae (Florida lancelet), 711 nucleotides long. RefSeq lists it as uncharacterized. The transcript is spliced from 5 exons. The record is from RefSeq and is a predicted model, not a curated record. NCBI's taxonomy places the organism in Eukaryota, Metazoa, Chordata, Leptocardii, Amphioxiformes, Branchiostomatidae.
GGCGCUUCUAUUUCAGAGGCAACAUGGCCACGGUAGAAGGAACACGUGAACGUAAAAAAACACCCGAAAAUGCGCAUUUUCUUGGUCAGAGCCGCAUUUUUCCCCGUAGAAGAGUGGAUAAGUGCCUUCGUCAUUGAACAUCCGACUUAGGCUUGACAAGUGCUGGGAGAAAAUGAAGUACCAGGAAUGAGAAGAGGAUGACAACUCACACAAGUCCUUAUUCAAGGUAGCCCCAAGGCCAGACUAUGCUGACAGCAUAGCCCAGUCUCCAGCCAUGAAAAGCAGAGGUUCACUGUUAUCUGGGGAACAUGAAAUUAGGAAUACUUUAGAUCCAGGUCAUACUGCUGUCCAUGGUGGCUACUAAGAGAGUCCUGUCAGAAUGUGGAUAGUGUCCAACUCCAACUUCCUCAAUGUCCAUGCCAGGUUCUGUGAUGUCCCAGAGUUGACUCACUAGCUAGAUUUUUACAUCACCACUGCUAGCUGCAGUUCAGUUUCCCCUAGUAAAUGAACUUGUCACCUUGCAUGUUAUUCCACAUAUCACUGCCUCCUAGCAUCAUGAUAUGACAAAUGUUCAGACAGUCUGUUGACAGAUUAAAAGAGGAAUUUUGCUUCUGUGAAGUAACCUUUUUAACUCACUUAUCUUGUUGCAUUGUAUAAAUUAGUUCAUGAUCCUUGUAGAGACUUGUUUUGAAUAAAGGAUGCAGCAUGCAA